RNAcentral lists this ribosomal RNA (798 nucleotides) under uncultured Porphyromonadaceae bacterium. RNAcentral describes it as "bacterial SSU rRNA". It matches the Rfam family "Bacterial small subunit ribosomal RNA", at positions 70 to 865 of the family's 1533-position model. Lineage: Bacteria; Pseudomonadati; Bacteroidota; Bacteroidia; Bacteroidales; Porphyromonadaceae. The record is from RNAcentral.
UGGUCUUAGCUUGCUAAGACUGAUGGCGACCGGCGCACGGGUGCGUAACGCGUAUGCAACUUGCCUCACAGAGGGGGAUAACCCGUCGAAAGACGGACUAAUACCGCGUACACUCUAUGUUGGGCAUCCAAUGUAGAGGAAAUGAAAUUCGCUGUGAGAUAGGCAUGCGUCCCAUUAGCUAGUUGGUGAGGUAACGGCUCACCAAGGCGACGAUGGGUAGGGGAACUGAGAGGUUGAACCCCCACACUGGUACUGAGACACGGACCAGACUCCUACGGGAGGCAGCAGUGAGGAAUAUUGGUCAAUGGGCGAGAGCCUGAACCAGCCAAGUCGCGUGAAGGAUGACUGUCUUAUGGAUUGUAAACUUCUUUUAUACGGGAAUAACAAGAGUCACGUGUGGCUCCCUGCAUGUACCGUAUGAAUAAGCAUCGGCUAACUCCGUGCCAGCAGCCGCGGUAAUACGGAGGAUGCGAGCGUUAUCCGGAUUUAUUGGGUUUAAAGGGUGCGUAGGCGGCCUGUUAAGUCAGCGGUGAAAUCUAGGAGCUUAACUCCUAAAUUGCCAUUGAUACCGGCGGGCUUGAGUGUAGAUGAGGUAGGCGGAAUGCGUGGUGUAGCGGUGGAAUGCAUAGAUAUCACGCAGAACUCCGAUUGCGAAGGCAGCUUACUAAGGUACAACUGACGCUGAAGCACGAAAGCGUGGGUAUCAAACAGGAUUAGAUACCCUGGUAGUCCACGCAGUAAACGAUGAUAACUGGGCGUAUGCGAUAUACAGUAUGCUCCUAAGCGAAAGCGUUAAGU